AAACAGGCUCCCCCAACUGACACAAACCGUGCAACUUGAAACUCCGCCUGGUCUUUCCAGGUCUAGAGGGGUGACACUUUGUACUGUGUUUGGCUCCGCGUUCGAUCCACCGGCGAGUGUUAGUAACACCACUGCUACUUCGUAGCGGAGCAUGACGGCCGUGGGAACCCCUCCUUGGUAACAAGGACCCACGGGGCCGAAAGCCACGUCCACAUGGACCCGUCAUGUGUGCAACCCCAGCACGGUAGCUUUGCUGUGAAACUCACUUUAAAGUGACAUUGAUACCGGUACCCAAAUACUGGUGACAGGCUAAGGAUGCCCUUCAGGUACCCCGAGGUAACAUGCGACACUCGGGAUCUGAGAAGGGGACUGGGGCUUCUGUAAAAGCGCUCAGUUUAAAAAGCUUCUAUGUCUGGAUAGGUGACCGGAGGCCGGCACCUUUUCUUUUACUAUUUGACUCUA
RNAcentral lists this non-coding RNA (462 nucleotides) under Foot-and-mouth disease virus A. RNAcentral's name for it is "Foot-and-mouth disease virus - type A Aphthovirus internal ribosome entry site (IRES)". It matches the Rfam family "Aphthovirus internal ribosome entry site (IRES)". From Rfam's summary of the family: IRES elements allow cap and end-independent translation of mRNA in the host cell. The IRES achieves this by mediating the internal initiation of translation by recruiting a ribosomal 43S pre-initiation complex directly to the initiation codon and eliminates the requirement for eIF4F. The record is from Rfam by way of RNAcentral. Lineage: Riboviria; Orthornavirae; Pisuviricota; Pisoniviricetes; Picornavirales; Picornaviridae.